ACGGAUUAAUGAAUGAUUAUAGGUCUCUUGCUGUUUGUAGCUCUGUUGCAAAUCUCAAGCGUUUUGGCAAAGUGGUUCUACUAACUGCUUUUCAUUCUUUUAAGUGGUCUUUAGGCGCUCUGAAUAAGUGUAACUCGUUCUUUAAAUGUACACUACUUAAACCCAUUAUUUUACAAUUGCGGUUUUGGCAUUAUUAUUCAUAGUUUAAUAAGU
RNAcentral lists this unclassified non-coding RNA (213 nucleotides) under Hevea brasiliensis (rubber tree). Lineage: Eukaryota; Viridiplantae; Streptophyta; Magnoliopsida; Malpighiales; Euphorbiaceae. The record is from RNAcentral.